RNAcentral lists this unclassified non-coding RNA (243 nucleotides) under Hevea brasiliensis (rubber tree). Lineage: Eukaryota; Viridiplantae; Streptophyta; Magnoliopsida; Malpighiales; Euphorbiaceae. The record is from RNAcentral.
GAAAAUCUCCUUGUUGCUGUAGAAGGUAUUGAUGAUCAAGCUCAGAAGCUGGUUGAUCUCAGCCUGGAAGGCAAAGGUCUCUGCAUCAGCCAUCUUCACAUCCGCCAUUCCUCCACACUACUUCACACACACCACACAAGCCUCGAAGCAAAGAGCGCGCGAAUGCGAGAACGAAAGAGAAAGAGCACAGGUAGAAAGAGCUAAUACGGACUUUGGUUAGAUGAUCACUAAAAACUUCUGGCU